This 253-nucleotide ribosomal RNA is filed under the name uncultured bacterium. RNAcentral describes it as "partial 16S ribosomal RNA". It matches the Rfam family "Bacterial small subunit ribosomal RNA", at positions 524 to 776 of the family's 1533-position model. The record is from RNAcentral.
GACGUAGGGCGCGAGCGUUGUCCGGAUUUAUUGGGCGUAAAGAGCUCGUAGGCGGCUUGUCGCGUCGACCGUGAAAACUCGCAGCUCAACUGCGAGCCUGCGGUCGAUACGGGCAGGCUUGAGUGCGGUAGGGGAGACUGGAAUUCCUGGUGUAGCGGUGAAAUGCGCAGAUAUCAGGAGGAACACCGGUGGCGAAGGCGGGUCUCUGGGCCGUAACUGACGCUGAGACGCGAAAGCGUGGGGAGCAAACAGG